GUAAUACAUCGGAACGUGCCCAGUAGUGGGGGAUAGCCCGGCGAAAGCCGGAUUAAUACCGCAUACGACCUACGGGUGAAAGCGGGGGACCGAAAGGCCUCGCGCUAUUGGAGCGGCCGAUGGCUGAUUAGCUAGUUGGUGGGGUAAAGGCCUACCAAGGCUACGAUCAGUAGCUGGUCUGAGAGGACGACCAGCCGCACUGGGACUGAGACACGGCCCAGACUCCUACGGGAGGCAGCAGUGGGGAAUUUUGGACAAUGGGCGAAAGCCUGAUCCAGCAAUGCCGCGUGUGCGAAGAAGGCCUUCGGGUUGUAAAGCACUUUUGUCGGGAAAGAAAUUGUCUGGGCUAAUACCCCGGGCCGUUGACGGUACCUGAAGAAUAAGCACCGGCUAACUACGUGCCAGCAGCCGCGGUAAUACGUAGGGUGCGAGCGUUAAUCGGAAUUACUGGGCGUAAAGCGUGCGCAGGCGGUUUGUUAAGACAGUUGUGAAAUCCCCGGGCUUAACCUGGGAACUGCAAUUGUGACUGGCAGGCUAGAGUUUGGCAGAGGGGGGUGGAAUUCCUGGUGUAGCAGUGAAAUGCGUAGAUAUCAGGAGGAACACCGAUGGCGAAGGCAGCCCCCUGGGCCAUGACUGACGCUCAUGCA
RNAcentral lists this ribosomal RNA (647 nucleotides) under uncultured bacterium. Its description in RNAcentral is "bacterial SSU rRNA". It matches the Rfam family "Bacterial small subunit ribosomal RNA", at positions 110 to 753 of the family's 1533-position model. The record is from RNAcentral.